GCAACUUGCACUUUUGCAAAUGGGUGGUUCUCACAACACAUGAUCAAUUGUAUUAGACAACGUCUUAUGGUGAGAUUCCUAUCAGUAUUUCCCAAGCCUGGCGCAGAGAAUUUACUCAGAGCUGCCACUUCAAGGUUUGAAAAAUUAAAGAGGGAGUCCCUUAGGAAUGUCAUGAAGCUUGAUGGAGUAGAAUGCCAGCAACCUAAUUUAGGUUUGGAAGAGAAUGAAGAACUUGACAAUGCUGAAGAUGAAGAGGAGGAUG
Non-coding RNA from Cajanus cajan (pigeon pea), 262 nucleotides. Lineage: Eukaryota; Viridiplantae; Streptophyta; Magnoliopsida; Fabales; Fabaceae. The record is from RefSeq and is a predicted model, not a curated record.